RNAcentral lists this long non-coding RNA (9567 nucleotides) under Equus caballus (horse). RNAcentral describes it as "lncRNA (ENSECAG00000055593.1)". Lineage: Eukaryota; Metazoa; Chordata; Mammalia; Perissodactyla; Equidae. The record is from RNAcentral.
CCCCUCGGGGUGGGAGCCGGUCCUGGAUUGCCCGCCUGGGCCCAGGGGAUCAAACUUCUACACGUGAAGAGGGCGGGGGAGGGUUGGAGCAGAGAGCACAUGAGGACGGGGUCAGGGACAGAGUGACGAGACAUGAGGAGGACCCCACCGGACACUGCUGGCCUCGAAGAUGGACGAAGGGGCCGUGAGUCAAGGGACACCAUGGCCUCUUGGCCCUGGAAAAGUCAAUAAUCCUGAUUGGUCCAGACGCUUAGAAAGAAAAAAUGACCUCCGACGGCUCCUGCACCCAGAAGGCCGGAAGAACGAGCUUCCCAGUGCCCUUGGACUAUGUCUGUCAGAUAGAAGGACGUAGAGCUUGUGAAGGGGGUAGAGACCCCGUGGAAGGUAUGUUGAGAGCCUGCAAACUAAUCUGACCCAAAACACUUGCAGACAGGGCCUCGAACAAGUCCGCACACAGCGUGUUCACAGCAGCACCGACACAACGGCCAAGAGGUGGGAACAGCCCCAACAUCCGUCAGCGAAUUGUUCACUUUAAAACGACUGAAUUUGGUGUUCUAUGAUCAUUUCAUCUCAGUAAAAGAUUAAGAAAAACUUCGUCCGGUGGAGAUGGAACAGCAAACGUGCUCCUCACCAGGGGAGUGACGGAGAAUUUUGCAGAAUGGAGCACGGACAUCAGUGCUCAGGUUGAGCGUAAGUGCAGAUUCCACCUCUGAUACUUGACUGAUCUGCCCACUGAGGACAGUUAGAAGCAGCCGACAAACCUGGGACCUGGACCACCACCAGAACCUGGAUUGGUGGGCACCAGACCUGCAGAAAGCCCCCAGAGGACCCUCGGGCAGAGUGGCAGCACCUACCCCCUCCGCCUGGACCCUCAUGCCCAUUGGACUGCACCAUCCACCAGAGGGAACCAGGACGCUGCUGGGUCCUCCUGCUGUGCCCGCCCCAGCUUGCCUACAUCCUCCCCAUUCCCGGUCCACCCGAUGGACCCACAGACAGGCAGAGGCACCAGGAACUGCUGAAGCUCUUUAUGCGGAACCAGGAGGGGGAUGCAGGGCGGGGGAGGAGGGGGUGGAGGUGCAGGAAGGGUGGCAGGAGGUGACCCAGGCUCCUGGUCAGGGACUCUGUCUGUGUCCUUCAGGAUGGAGGGUCCUGGUGCUGCCGCCUCAGGGCUGCUGUGGAGCCCCGGUGCCCCCUCGUCCUGGAGAGGAGGGGGAGGGUCACUGAGACCAGGACGGGGGAGGCCGGGAGGGACUGCCUUGUGGGAGCAGGUGCCGAGGUCUGGGGGUGCUGUGUGGGGGCAGGUGCUGGGUUCUGGGGCUGCCGUGUGUGGGCAGGUGCCGAGGUUUCGGGGUGCCAUGUGUGGGCAGGUGCUGAGUUCUGGGGCCACCAUGUCGGGGGAGGUGCUGGGUUCUGGGGCUGCCGUGGGGGCAGGCGCCGGGUUCUGGGGGCUGCAGUGUGGGGGUGGGUGCUGAGUUCUGGGGCCACCAUGUCGGGGGAGGUGCUGGGUUCUGGGGCUGCCGUGGGGGCAGGCGCCGGGUUCUGGGGGCUGCAGUGUGGGGGUAGGUGCUGUGUCCUCAGGCUCUGGCCGCUGGAUCUGAGGACCUGGAGGAGACCUUCCUGUAGGCUGCCCACAGCAUCCACGCUCUCGUGUGAAAGUGUGUCGGGGCCACUUCCGGCCAACGGGAGGGCAAAGAGGGAACGGGGUUGCUCUCUGGGCUCUGGCUCUGCCCACCCCUGGGCAGUGAACUUGGGUAAGUCACUGAAACUCCAGUUUCCAAAAGGACAUGCAGUUGGUAAGGACCCCAGGAGGUCUGAAGUACCCCGCUCAUGGGUGCCGUAUUUCUGAAUCUUUUAAGCAACUCAUUGGGUAAACAAAGUCACGAUGACUACUCAGGGGUGAGGAGGGAUGUCACCCCUGCUGGCAGGCACACCGCAGUGUCAGGAGCUAGACAGUCUCCCCCAGCACCCCAGCCCCUGGAGCGCUCACUCCAGAGGGAUUUCCUCACUGCCGGGCACUGCUCUGCGAGACCGAAUCUGCAGGCGAGGCUCAGGGGUCCGGGCGACUCCAGGAGCAGGCUCUCCACCUGCCUGGCCGAGAGGGUCUCCUGUCCCGGUGGGAGCAGGGGUGGGAGAUAGACCACACGUCCCUAAUCGCUUACCCUAAUCGCUUCCUGGAGAGCAGGUUUCUGCAGAAAAAAGGAGACACACACGGCUCAGGAGACCCCAGAGAAUCAGUCGGGGCCGACACUUCACGUGACCCCAGGAAGGACAUUUAGCGUUCUCUAAAUUGGCUCUGCUGCCCGUCCCAGCGCGGGGCCCGGGCAGGAUCAGGCGAGGGUGUACUCCCUACCAUGGGGCGUGAGCGUGAAGAUCUUCUCCGGGUCGAACCCUUUGUCUCUCGCGAACGUCUUAAAAUCCUCCAGGGCCCCCUGGUUGUUCUCCGCGUCUCUUCCUGUCAGUGAAAUCAGGAGAUGCGAGGGUGAGGGGCAGAACGGGAGCAGGCUGGCAUCUCCAGCCCAGCCUGGGGCAGAGAUGGAUGGGCCGCCGCAGAGCUGGGGCAGGAGACCAUGCGCCCACGUCGGGGCUGGACCCCGAGGUCCCUCCGGCCGGGAGGAGGGCUCGGCUGGAAAGAGAGGACUGGGAGCUGUGAGUGCCCAGUGGGCGCCGUGCGGCAGGCCUGGGAGGAACGGGGUGCUCUUCAUGAGCACACCUGGGGGUCUCCUGGAGUGAGGACGACCGGCAGGACCUGCCCAGCCACAGAGGAGAGUACUUCCCCUCGGGGCCCCCGGACCCCGUGCUGUCCCCUCUGGACUGACUUCCGCUGCGCUCCUGGCUGUGGGGAGCAUGCAGGAGAGCACCUGGGGGCCCCUUGUCUUCAGGCCGAGACAGUCCUGAUGCCCCAAUGCCUCCUUGAGCUCCCCCCAUCCCGGAAUUAAGCCCCAGGAUCUGGAAUUUCCUUCCCUUGCAGCUCCAUGCACACACUGCUCUUCUCCCCCGUGGGAGACCCCAAAGGAACGGUGCUGAGGUGGACACUGCAAGGGGUGGUCCCUGUGAACGAGUGGCCCACCCAGUGACAUCUGUGACAUUUGGAUCCCUGUCCCCACAGUGGUCCUCUGCCCUCCUGUGUUCCCACUGCAGACACCGAGACUGGGAAACCCGGAUCCUGAGCUCCAGGGAUGGGAAUGAGUGCUCCCUUCAGGAAAAGCAGUUGGAAGGAGCCGCCGGUGGCUUCUCCUAAGAGGAGGAGGCACGGGGAGGAGGGGGAGGGAGGAGGGUUUGCAGGCACUGGGAUGCGGGACCCUCACCCACGAGCUUCGCCAUCCGGAUCUGCUUCCCCCGGAGCUCGCCUUCACAGUAAAGAACGUAGUGGUCCAUCACGUUCGACGGCGAGAUGUGCACCACGCGCCUGCCCUCGUCUGCGGAAGGACGGUGGCACGAGCUGAAUAAGCCAUGUGACCCUCCAGGAAGACCUGGAGCUCGCCCAGCGCCCAGCCUGGUGGACCCUCCAGUUUCCACAUGCUCCCAGCUGCUCAGGCCGUGAGGUCUCCACCUCUUGAGGACCCAACACACCGGGAGAGCCCCAUACCAGAAAGAGGGUCACAUCCCCAACCAACGGACCACAGAGAGGUUUCGGGGCAUGGAGUUGGAGCAGGUCGGAGUGUGGGGUGCUCAGUCCCCAACAACCAGAUACGACUCUGCUCCUCGCCCCUGACGUGGGCACAGCCAUAACCCAGCGGGGCCCCUGGGCGGUCCAGUCCCUCCUGGGACAAUGUGUCCCUCCUGGCUCUUAGUGUCAAGUGAUCAUAUCUUCAGGGCAAACUGACCAGAGGGAGGAGAGGGUGUACAUUUAAUGGGGUCAGAAAGGAGCGGGGCUUCUCAGGCUAAAAUGCCUCCCCAGAAAUGCGCAGGCUGCCCCCGGCUCCCCCAGUGUGUGGGGCACCACCCGGCUGGGGCUCCAAGACUCACCGGCCGUGUAUUUGCCGGGCUCAUUGGUUUUCUCCAGCACCAGUUUCGUCUCCUGGCACUGACCCCUCACCCUGGAACACAGAAGCCAUGUGGUGAUGCUGCCGUGGGUGUACCCACUUUGGAAACACAGCCAGCCCCGGUAGGGCCCCCGCCUUGGAGCAGCCGCAGGGCAAAGCCCGUAACGGUGGCCUGGGAUCCAAAGUGGGCCUGGCGGGGGAGCACGUUUCUCCCACCUCAAGUCCAGGCACUGACUGGGCCUUCAGUCAUGCGUGACAGCUCCCUGGGGCUCCCUCCAGGUGGGGGGUGGGGUGCAGCCCCCUCAAUCAGCCAGCACUGCCCCUCACGGCCCACGAGGCCCAUCCGCGGCCCCUCCCCUCCUCAGUGCCCUAAGUCUGGGGAUCUCUCCCCUGCACGGUGCCCCUGCAUGAGGCACCCUCCAUGGCGGUGCCCCCUCAAAGCUGCCAGGGCUGAGUGCUGUAGGAGGGCCUGAGAAGGACACCGGCGUGGUCUGCCUGCCCCACAGAUGCUGGCUCUCCUGGUGUGGGGAGGGAAGGCCGAGGGUCGUUGCCAGCUACCCAGCCGGCUGACACUCACUUCACGGUCGCUUUGGCCUCCAGGUUGCCCCCCUCCAGGACCGUGAGGAUCAUGGGAGUCACCAACUCAGGCUUCUCCCCGGGAAUCUCCUGGUCAGCGGUCACGGCCUUCAGAUACCAUUUCCCUGAGACCUGGGGAUGUUCCCCCCAUCAGGGCUCCGGCCGACCCCACGGCCUCCCCCUCCCGCUCUGCAGCCCCAGACUCUACCCCACCCCCAGGGCUGGGGGCUUGGAGCGCUUCCCAGCCCACCCCCCCCCACCCCCCCCAGCUUAUGCCCAGCACCCUCGCCAGACCCACCCAGAUGCCGGCUCCGGGCCCCUGCAGGUCAGCGAGACCACCGGUGCCCUUGCUCCCAGGGGCCCUCUGCAUCCUGGGACCAUCGGGCACAGACUCCUCUGUCUGACCAUUCCCUCAGGGCCAGGGGUUAAUGCCUGAUCCUAAAAUGAGUGUCUCUGCCCCUCCCCACGCCGCCUCCAGCCAGCCUGCCCCAUCUGAGCCUCACGUCCGGAGUCUCCUCGCCCAAGGCCAGGGGGUCCUUGGCCUGCAGGGCAGCAAUGAGGCUGAGGCCGAUGGUCAGGAGCAGGGUCUUCAUCUCCAGGGGUCUGUGCUCACGGCCACCUGACAGGUCACUUGCUGGGGUCGGAGAGGCUGUGCCGGCCUCUCACACAGCCACCCUUUAUACCCGCUGGCCCAGGGUCCCACGGGAACUUGGCACAGACAAUUGACAAUCCCUUCCUGGCCAUAAACCGUGGCCAGUUCCGCAGUGGAGCAGAUGAAAUGUCAGUAUUGUUGGACGUUGCUGAACGGCUCUGGUUAACCACGAAGGGUCAUCGAGGCAGCGCCACCAUCUAGAGGGACGGAUCUGCAGGCAGCAUCGAGGAGGGGCAGUCGGAGUGCAGGAGUGGAGGCUUCCGUGAGCAGAGGCACCGAGGGACGUGAGCGGUGCCAGCGGCCCCCCUCCCGCCCGUCACCGCAGGCUGGGCUGACCAGCUCGCUGCCAGAGAGGAUGUGGGCUGGACCUUAGAGCCACGGGCUUGGUUACAGCUGGCCCUCCUGGGUUAGGCUACUUAACUUCAGAUUCAGCAUCAAGAAAGAGGGACCUACUAUGUGAGCGUGACGACGGGUGUGUUUAAAGAGCAUGUCUACACUCCUGACAAGAUGUGCAAUAAGUAGUCACUUUGACACACCCUCUCUGCUCCAUGUACAGAGGAGCAGCAGAUGAGAGAUAAAGAAUGCAAACCAGGACACGUAGAUGGAAAUGUGAACAUAUGUAUACACACACACAUUCACACACACGUGCACACACACAUGCAUACAUAGGCACACAUGCAUACACAUGUGCAUACACACGGACACACGCGUGCACACAUACGUAUACACAGACACACAUUCACACAUGCGUGCAUACACACAGAGAUACGCAUACACAGAGACACGCAUUCACACACACAUACACGUUUACACAUAUGCAUACACAUUCACACACAGACACAUAUGCAUACACAUAAGCACAUAUGCAUGCACACAGAUACACACAUGCAUACACACUCACACUCAUUCACUCAGACAUGCACAUACAUACAUGCUCACACACACACAUCAAAUCAGGACGCAGGAGCAGCACAGCCUGGUGAGUGGGGCUGCAGCCCUGGCCCGGCAGGUGAGAGGACGUGAUGUCACCUCCAAAGCAGACGGGAGACGAGCCGUCCUCCGAGCAGUGACUUUCUCUGUGAGUCCCCACACCCCCCUGUCGGGCAGCAGAACAGACGCCUGGGCCGGGAGUGGGAGGCAGAGGCUACGACAAAACUGGCAGACGGAGCACGAUGACAACAAGGUGACAGAGGGGCAAGCCUGCGUGGGUUCUGCAUCCCGCCCGAAAGGGAGCUGGUGCCCCACGCUCCAAAUCACCCACAGCAAGACCAGGUGAAGAGAGACAGGCUCAAGGUGAGCGGUCUGGACCGGAACUCACUCCGGGGAGCAGGACGAGUGAAGACGCUUUAGAAGAGGAGCGUGAUGAGGACGCCUGGAGACGAGACAGGACGAGAAACCGUGAAAUGAGAGCGGCCAGAGCGUGGACAACGAGGAGACAGGAAAUAGGAACAAUGAUAAACAUCGAAGGUGGACACUGUAGUAAAUAGAAAACUCAAAAGCCAGUGAAAGUAAGCUACACACAUGAAAUUGGCUCUUUGGGGAAAACACAUUAACUAGAUCGACUUCUAGGGAGACUGCUGGAAACAUUGGGAAAGAACAACUGAAUGGCAUCGGGAGUGACGCGGGACGUGAGCUGAGGCAGACGAGAGCGGCUGAGCGGCUGUGCAGGUGUGCGGAUGGCAGGCAGGCCGCAGGGGUCAGCCUCAGAGACCGGGGGAGGGGGGAGAGGUGCGGUCACAGGGCGACACCGACGGCUCAGAGGGUGGAAGAGACGCCCAGGAACAGCCCUGGGCGGAGCCGGGAAAGCAGGCGCACAGCACAGCGGGCAAGAGCACUUGUGGGGAAAACACUACAGGAGUGGAACUGGGUGUCCACGUGGGAAAGACACACAAGCUCACCUCCCCACCUCACAUCGCUCACAAUUAUUCCAGCCAGAUUUAAAGGCUUACGUACGAAAAGCAAACCUUUCAAACCCUGUAAAGGAAACAAGGGCUGACACCUUUGCAGCCCAGAGACAGACCCCCCCGAGCUGUGAGGGAAGCGCUGAAGGGACCACAAAGGUCAAAGGUCAGCCUGGAGGGAAUGUCUGCAAUGGGCGCGACUGCUGUGGGGCUUCGAGAUGGAGAGCACACGGACGGACAGACGGACCAAAGAGUUAGGAAACGACAACCGGGGGAGAGCAAACGGGACAGGCAAUCACAAGGAGGGGCCGGGGCCGCCGGGCUCCUGAGGGUGCUCAGCGUCACUGCCGACUGGAACCAAGUGGAGACGCCGUCUCGGAGCCCCUCUGACAACAGGCGUCGCUGGGAUGUGGCUCUCGGCAGCUCUCACCGUCUGCGUCUGGGCGUGAACUGUGCCCCACGUGAGAGCAAUGGCAACCACCAGCAACAUUGCAGGCUCGCAUGCCUGGGGUCCCGCAGUUCUGCGGCCUCACACAGACACUAGACGUCCCCCUUGGGCCUCCUCCACGCUGCAGCCAGGUGCUCCCGUGAUCACGAGAUUCUGUCAAUUUGUGGAGCCAUCUCUCUCCUCGUGUUCAGGGGCCGAGGGCAGUUUUGGGUUCAGUGGGACGUGUUGAAGGUAACGGUCACUUUAGUGCCGAGCUGGCUUCCCGGGUCGUCUUGGUUUUCGGGAAUAUUCCUGCCGCUGCUCUGGACUGACGCACAUGGCGUCCUGACCCACCUGUGUCAGCUACGGGUCACAACACAGAAGGCACAUGAGCGGUGGGGGGAGACGCCAGCUUCAUUCUGCGUGAAGCCCGAGGCGAGUGUGCGGUCAGUUCCCUCACGCCCCCGGGGUGGACGCCUGUGAGCCGGGUUCAGUUCUCAGUGAAGUCUGGUCAAACGCGAGCCCGCUCUGUCCCAACUGCUUGACGGUGCAACGUGUGUCAACGCACCACACGCUUUUAUGCUGUUUAGAUGGAAACCACACAAAACAGAACUGAUCAGAAUUCUAUUUAUGGACCAAAGACCCACAGCAGAACCACAGUGAGCACAUACAUCCGUGUCGGAAGUUACGUGUCUUCUGCAUCCCAACAUCAGUGAUAAAAAAGGAAUUUCGAUCUCCCGUGCGGGGCAGAGUGUGAGUUAUCUUUACGGGAAUAGUGGAACAGUAGUUUCAGAGGAAUCAGGAGCAGCGGCUGAAAGACCAGGAAAAGGAGGUUUCUAGAGGUGGGCCGGGCGGCAGGGAGUCGGAGUGGGUGGUGGUUCCUGGAUUUGGUGAUGUUCAUGGUACUUAUCAGCUUUGUGUGUGUGUGUGUGUGUGUGUGUGUGUGUGUGUGUGUGUGUGCUCUGAGCUAACACGUGUGCCCAUCUUCCUCCGUUUUGUAUGUGGGACGCCGCCACAGCGUGGGUUGAUAGGCAGUGCUGGGUCUGCAUUCGGGAUCCGGAACCUGCAAACCCCAGACCGCCGAAGCAGAGCACGUGAACUUAGCCACUCUGCCACCGGACCAGCCCCCUUAUCAGCUUUUUAAAUAUUCUGUGCCAGUUUGUCCAUGUGGAGCCUCCUUGUCUCCUGACUGGCCCCCAGAGGCUCCACGAGUUGACCCCAUGACCCCCGCCUGCCUGAGUUGGGGCGUGUUCGUCCACCUCCCUGUCCUGCGUCCGUCCAGCCUCUGCUGUCGUCCUGCCAAGCCCAGAACAGCCGCCACCUCCUGGGAAGAAGGGCCUGACCGCCCGGCCUACAGCUGCACCGCCCUGCGUGUCCCGUGUCACAGUGGAUGAAGCACAUUCAGAAGCACGUGGAGGAAGACGUGAUGCUCCCGUCACCGUCACCCACCACCCAGCGCACACAGGCCCCUCCCCGUGGCUGACCACGGCUCACACCUUCCAGAACUUUCCACCUCCCAUGUGCACGACGUUCUAAAAGCAGCCCUCUGUUUUACCACUAACGUGACUUUGAUGUGUUCCACACGAAAAACACACCAUCCUUGGAACACAUUUUGAGCAGAAGCAGGAUGAGUCUCAUUAACUGCCGUAAGUGGAAUUUCUGGACCAAGUGGAGCCCACAUGGUGAAUGUCAACAGGCGUCCGAAGCUCUACAAAACGUCUGCCCCUGCGUCCUCCCACUGCCACCUACGGGACCACCAGCAUUCAUCCAGGGCUGACCGGUGUCCCUUGGCCUUGCCCUGACCAGGAGCUGGAGGAGGGCGGGGGGCGGCGGGUAAGGGGCAGCUCGCUCAGAGGCCGUGCAGACGCAGACGGGGCUCACACCCAGCGGCCAUGGCGCCCUCCGUCUCCCCAGGUCCUGCAGCGCCUUCUGCACGAGGACCCCCUGCACCGCCCACAGCCGGGCUGGGCCGGCACUUUGAAGAGGUGCCUGGAGCCAAGAAGGACUGAGGGGCCGCCCCUAUCUCAG